Molecule: ribosomal RNA, 405 nt
Filed under: uncultured bacterium
Lineage: Bacteria
Description: bacterial SSU rRNA
Rfam family: Bacterial small subunit ribosomal RNA
Source: RNAcentral
UGGGGAAUAUUGCACAAUGGGGGGAACCCUGAUGCAGCGAUGCCGCGUGGAGGAAGCAGGUUGUCGGAUUGUAAACUCCUGUCGUAAGGGACGAUAAUGACGGUACCUUACAAGAACGCUCCGGCUAACUACGUGCCAGCAGCCGCGGUAAUACGUAGGGAGCGAGCGUUGUCCGGAAUUACUGGGUGUAAAGGGAGCGUAGGCGGGACGGCAAGUCAGAUGUGAAAUAUACGUGCUCAACAUGUAGACUGCAUUUGAAACUGUCGUUCUUGAGUGAGGUAGAGGUAAGCGGAAUUCCUGGUGUAGCGGUGAAAUGCGUAGAGAUCAGGAGGAACAUCGGUGGCGAAGGCGGCUUACUGGGCCUUUACUGACGCUGAGGCUCGAAAGCGUGGGGAGCAAACAGGA